Molecule: ribosomal RNA, 240 nt
Filed under: Triticum aestivum (bread wheat)
Lineage: Eukaryota; Viridiplantae; Streptophyta; Magnoliopsida; Poales; Poaceae
Description: partial small subunit ribosomal RNA
Source: RNAcentral
AUGAACAUUGCUCUCCUGACCCGCUGGCUUUGGCGUAUCGCCAAUGGGGAGGGAGGCCUUUGGCUUACCAGCAUCCGUAAUAAGUACCUUAGGGGCCAACCUCUUGCCUUCUGCCAGCGUUCGGGUGGAUCCCAGUUCUGGCAGUCGGUGAUCCAGCUUCUGCCCGUCCUCCACAUUGGCACGUCCAUCUCGGUUGGCUCCGGGUGCCAGCAGGUGGGAGGGAACGAAGCUCUUUCCUGA